Molecule: transfer RNA, 72 nt
Filed under: Mus musculus (house mouse)
Lineage: Eukaryota; Metazoa; Chordata; Mammalia; Rodentia; Muridae
Description: tRNA-Ser
Source: RNAcentral
GGUGAGAUGGCUCAGUGGGUAAGAGCACCCGACUGCUCCUCCGAAGGUCCAGAGUUCAAAUCCCAGCAACCA